AGGUAUAGGAGAUAAAAUCAAAAUAUAGCCUUUUGGUGGCUGAUGUGGGAUCGAACCAUUUGGCUAACAAAUAUCCACAUGAACCCUCCAAACAACAUUUGCAGCUUCGGACGGCGCCCGAAAUUCCUUAAUAGUGGGAGAUAGGUCCAAAGUAGAAUACCCGAAGUCUUUCUGUGCUGAAUCUCCAGUUCUUUCAAGAAUAUCGCUGCCGAAGUGCUUUGUAGGUCAACAACUUCGGGCCAAAUAAUUGUCACGAAUAUCUUUGUGAACUUCCCGAAGAACACACCCUGCUUCGGAUGGAACCAAAUGUUUAAGUAAUGAUGACGAAAAAGGUCCUUCGAUAAAGAUUCUCAUCCAUGAGAACAAAAUGGACACUCUUGUAC
This 383-nucleotide long non-coding RNA is filed under the name Panax ginseng (ginseng). RNAcentral describes it as "long non-coding RNA (PGIN_LNC010834)". Lineage: Eukaryota; Viridiplantae; Streptophyta; Magnoliopsida; Apiales; Araliaceae. The record is from RNAcentral.